UACGUAGGGCGCAAGCGUUGUCCGGAAUUAUUGGGCGUAAAGAGCUCGUAGGCGGCCUGUUACGUCUGCUGUGAAAUCCCGGGGCUUAACCCCGGGCGUGCAGUGGAUACGGGCAGGCUCGAGUUCGGUAGGGGAGACUGGAAUUCCUGGUGUAGCGGUGAAAUGCGCAGAUAUCAGGAGGAACACCGGUGGCGAAGGCGGGUCUCUGGGCCGAUACUGACGCUGAGGAGCGAAAGCGUGGGGAGCGAACAGG
This 253-nucleotide ribosomal RNA is filed under the name uncultured bacterium. Its description in RNAcentral is "partial 16S ribosomal RNA". It matches the Rfam family "Bacterial small subunit ribosomal RNA", at positions 524 to 776 of the family's 1533-position model. The record is from RNAcentral.